This 513-nucleotide ribosomal RNA is filed under the name uncultured bacterium. RNAcentral describes it as "partial 16S ribosomal RNA". It matches the Rfam family "Bacterial small subunit ribosomal RNA", at positions 28 to 523 of the family's 1533-position model. The record is from RNAcentral.
GAUGAACGCUGGCGGCGUGCCUAAUACUUGCAAGUCGAGAGAACAGACGAGGAGCUUGCCCCUCUGACGUUAGCGGUGGACGGGUGAGUAACACGUGGAUAACCUACCUAUAAGACUGGGAUAACUUCGGGAAACCGGAGCUAAUACCGGAUAACAUGUUCAACUGCAUGGUUCAACAGUGUAAGACGGUCUUGCUGUAACUUAUAGAUGGUUCCGCGCCGCAUUAGCUAGUUGGUAAGGUAACGGCUUACCAAGGCAACGAGGCGUAGCCGCCCUGGGAGGGUGAUCGGCCACACUGGAACUGAGACACGGACCAGACUCCUACGGGAGGCAGCAGUAGGGAAUCUUCCGCAAUGGGCGAAAGCCUGACGGAGCAACGCUGCGUGAGUGAAGAAGGUCUUCGGAUCGUAAAACUCUGUUAUUAGGGAAGAACAAAUGUGUAAGUAACUAUGCACGUCUUGACGGUACCUAAUCAGAAAGCCACGGCUAACUACGUGCCAGCCGCCGCCGUAA